This 85-nucleotide transfer RNA is filed under the name Candidatus Liberibacter asiaticus. RNAcentral's name for it is "tRNA-Leu". It matches the Rfam family "tRNA". Rfam says of the family: Transfer RNA (tRNA) molecules are approximately 80 nucleotides in length. RNAcentral also lists the same sequence under 3 other names. The record is from RNAcentral. Lineage: Bacteria; Pseudomonadati; Pseudomonadota; Alphaproteobacteria; Hyphomicrobiales; Rhizobiaceae.
GCCCAGAUGGCGGAAUCGGUAUACGCGCAGGUUUCAGGUACCUGUGCCGCAAGGCAUGGAGGUUCAAAUCCUCUUCUGGGCACCA